CCGCUCCUUGCACCGGUGCACAGCUUUCAAAUUUAGAAAAAAUCUACUCUUCCUUCCCUAACUUUGACGAAAAUCCGUUUUCUCUCCUCAACUCUAAAACCGAACAAACUACGUCUCUUAAUUUUUCAAACCAUAUAUUAUUACCUUCCUGCAGCGGUUUUGAAUGCAAUUUUGUUACAGCGAAUGAUAGUUUUGCUAUAGUAACGGUGGUUUUGUAUUUUUCUUUUUUUAUUAUUUUGGCUGAAUCUUUAAAAAAUUAAGUAAAUCACAGAAAAAUCAUAACACAGAGAAGCUCUAAUUUUGUUGGACUCUCCAAAUAAGUAGAUUUACACAGUGAACAUAGUAUGCUUUAAGUUUUUGCUAUAAAGGUUUUGUCUUUUUCUUUUUUAUUUAUUUUGGCUAAAUCUUUGAAAAAUAGUAUAUUAC
Molecule: long non-coding RNA, 426 nt
Filed under: Sorghum bicolor (sorghum)
Lineage: Eukaryota; Viridiplantae; Streptophyta; Magnoliopsida; Poales; Poaceae
Description: long non-coding RNA (SBIC_LNC011838)
Source: RNAcentral